CACUAUGAAGCUGCUUCAGCAUUAACCUUUUAAGUUAAAGAUAGAGAAUAUAUAUAUAUUUUCUCCAUAGUGA
Molecule: transfer RNA, 73 nt
Filed under: Santamartamys rufodorsalis (red crested soft-furred spiny-rat)
Lineage: Eukaryota; Metazoa; Chordata; Mammalia; Rodentia; Echimyidae
Description: tRNA-Lys
Source: RNAcentral